Cygnus atratus (black swan) is the source of this 1098-nucleotide long non-coding RNA. RefSeq lists it as uncharacterized. The record is from RefSeq and is a predicted model, not a curated record. The transcript has 3 exons. Lineage: Eukaryota; Metazoa; Chordata; Aves; Anseriformes; Anatidae.
UAUUAGAUUUUCACCUGUGUGGGUACUGUGUUUGAGAAAGUCCCAGGACUUGUCAGCUGUAUAGGCCUCAUAAAAGACAGCUCUGUUCAGGGUUUGAAAGGGACUGCAGUUAAAAGCUAGGGCUAGGACUUGGAGGAUGUGUAGGCAAACGGAAGGAGAGCCGGGGGAAGAAAAACCGAAAUGGAUUCAUUCUCCGUCCUGGAUGGAGGAGGAGAGGAGAGGAGAAGGGGACGUGCGAGCUUCCUUCAGCUGCCUCUGUCCGGUGAAAAGUGCUCGAAGCCCCGGGGCUGCCUCGGGCUCAGGAGUCCGCGCGGACUUUCGCUGUAAGCUGCCAAUCAAACUGCUAACUAGCCACCACCCUGCUCUGGCACGGACAUGAGCUGAGGGAUAUCCUUGUGUCAGAGACAUCUCCCUCUGCCAUCUCACCCGGGAAUGCAGAAGCCCAGAAUGAGUGCAGGGCAGUGGCAGAGCAGCAGCUGAAUAUUCAGAUUUCACUCUUCAAGCAACCAGAGAUACUUCGAAACCACGCGUGAGACAAAAUGAUGUUAAACUUUCAAUUCUUAAACCUCUCUUUAGCCGUACUCCAGAACUGAGCAGUUCAUAGCAGACCGGGAUUUCUGAUUGACACUUUGCCAUCAGAAGCCCUCGAGUAGGAUUUUUCCAGCUAUAACACAGCUAUAACACUGGGCUCUGCUCCCUUCUGAAUGAUGCUAUUUUGCGAAUAGGAGCACAGGAGAAAUUUGCAUAAAAGCUUCAUAUAUAAUACAUGAUUGCUUGGAAAUUAAGAAGCAGCAGUUUUUCCCUUAUUGUUUUUGGAAUAAAGGGUGCGCUUUGUUUUCUUGUUUACUUAGUGUGCUCUCUGAUCCCUUGAUGUGUUUCAAGAGUUUUCUGUCAGCAUCAUGAGACCUUGCUUACCUGGUAAAUUUUAAGUGUGAAAUGAUUAGUGUUCAAAGUGCCUGAAAAAAACAACAGUAACAAUGUCUGACAACUUUUUUUUUUUCCUUCUCUUGUUAAAUAAUAUUUCAUGGUACAUUAAAUGGGUUGUGCAGCCUCUUCUGAAGAGACCAAAGCAACGUAUUGCCGCACGCUUAAUGUUUU